AGUAACGCAGUGAAUCACACUCAGUUUCGACCUGACCCCAGGGUAACUCCCGUUACUA
This 58-nucleotide transfer RNA is filed under the name Liphistius erawan. RNAcentral's name for it is "tRNA-Arg". The record is from RNAcentral. Lineage: Eukaryota; Metazoa; Arthropoda; Arachnida; Araneae; Liphistiidae.